GUGCCAGCCGCCGCGGUAAUACAGAGGGUGCAAGCGUUGUUCGGAAUUAUUGGGCGUAAAGGGAGUGUAGGCGGUUGGGAAAGUCUUCUGUGAAAUCUACGGGCUCAGCCUGUAACGUGCAGAGGAAACUACUCGGCUUGAGUGUCGGAGAGGAUAGGGGAAUACCCGGUGUAGAGGUGAAAUUCGUAGAGAUCGGGUGGAACACCAGUGGCGAAGGCGCCUGUCUGGCUGACAACUGACGCUGAGACUCGAAAGCAUGGGGAGCAAACAGGAUUAGAAACCCGCGUAGUCC
RNAcentral lists this ribosomal RNA (292 nucleotides) under uncultured bacterium. RNAcentral describes it as "partial 16S ribosomal RNA". It matches the Rfam family "Bacterial small subunit ribosomal RNA", at positions 505 to 796 of the family's 1533-position model. The record is from RNAcentral.